AGACAGGUGUGGAGGAUGAGAAGCGGGCCACAGGAUGGGAAGGGAAUCUGUGUGGAGACGGUGCCCUAAACAUGCUGCCUUGAGGAGGGACCUCUGCAUGGGGUGGCCGGGCACAGCCAGAUGUCCCUGGAGACAGCGCCAUCUGGUGGAAAUUCCUGUAACCAUAGAGAUGUUCUGUCUGUGCCGUCCAACAUGGGAGCCAUGCAGGACACAUGGUGACUGAGCACUGGGACCGUGUGCCGCGUGGCCAAGAGCAGCUCAGCUCUAAAGUCUCCUCCAGCUUUAUGAUGUCACUUCCUGUAUCUUCUCUACACAUUCUUUCCUUCAGCCUGUUGUUUGUAAGUUUUUAUGUAGGAAAGUAGAAAAUUCAGAAUAUGUUUCAUCAGGUUUUUGUUUGGCAAAGUGUCAACAUGUUUAUAACAGAGUUAAAGAUAAAGGAAA
RNAcentral lists this long non-coding RNA (441 nucleotides) under Pan troglodytes (chimpanzee). Its description in RNAcentral is "lincRNA". The record is from RNAcentral. Lineage: Eukaryota; Metazoa; Chordata; Mammalia; Primates; Hominidae.